UACGUAGGGGGCAAGCGUUGUCCGGAAUCAUUGGGCGUAAAGCGCGCGUAGGCGGCCCGAUAAGUCCGCUGUAAAAGUCCAGGGCUCAACCCUGGAAAGCCGGUGGAUACUGUCGGGCUAGAGUCCGGAAGAGGCGAGUGGAAUUCCUGGUGUAGCGGUGAAAUGCGUAGAUAUCGUAAGGAAGACCAGUGGCGAAGGCGGGUCUCUGGACAGUUCCUGACGCUGAGGCACGAAGGUCAGGGGAGCAAACGGG
RNAcentral lists this ribosomal RNA (253 nucleotides) under uncultured bacterium. RNAcentral describes it as "partial 16S ribosomal RNA". It matches the Rfam family "Bacterial small subunit ribosomal RNA", at positions 524 to 776 of the family's 1533-position model. The record is from RNAcentral.